Molecule: ribosomal RNA, 492 nt
Filed under: uncultured bacterium
Lineage: Bacteria
Description: partial 16S ribosomal RNA
Rfam family: Bacterial small subunit ribosomal RNA
Source: RNAcentral
AGUGAACGCUGGCGGUAGGCCUAACACAUGCAAGUCGAACGGCAGCACAGUAAGAGCUUGCUCUUACGGGUGGCGAGUGGCGGACGGGUGAGGAAUACAUCGGAAUCUACUUUUUCGUGGGGGAUAACGUAGGGAAACUUCCGCUAAUACCGCAUACGACCUACGGGUGAAAGCAGGGGAUCUUCGGACCUUGCGCGAUUGAAUGAGCCGAUGUCGGAUUAGCUAGUUGGCGGGGUAAAGGCCCACCAAGGCGACGAUCCGUAGCUGGUCUGAGAGGAUGAUCAGCCACACUGGAACUGAGACACGGUCCAGACUCCUACGGGAGGCAGCAGUGGGGAAUAUUGGACAAUGGGCGCAAGCCUGAUCCAGCCAUACCGCGUGGGUGAAGAAGGCCUUCGGGUUGUAAAGCCCUUUUGUUGGGAAAGAAAAGCAGCAGGUUAAUACCCCGCUGUUCUGACGGUACCCAAAGAAUAAGCACCGGCUAACUUCGUG